GCCUGGGUGGCUCAGUCGGUGAAGCACCCGACUUCGGCUCAGGUCGUGAUCUUGCGGUUUGUGGGUUCGAGCCCCGCGUCGGGCU
Transfer RNA from Felis catus (domestic cat), 85 nucleotides. It matches the Rfam family "tRNA". From Rfam's summary of the family: Transfer RNA (tRNA) molecules are approximately 80 nucleotides in length. NCBI's taxonomy places the organism in Eukaryota, Metazoa, Chordata, Mammalia, Carnivora, Felidae. The record is from Rfam.